Long non-coding RNA from Equus caballus (horse), 1991 nucleotides. The record is from Ensembl. Lineage: Eukaryota; Metazoa; Chordata; Mammalia; Perissodactyla; Equidae.
AGCUGGGCAUGCGCAGUGCCAGAGGCUGGCAGAGGAGGCGCUGGCAGAGACGCCAGGUGGGUCUGCGCUUUGGGACGGGAACCUCACAGCCACAGUCACGUCCCCAGAAAAGGGAACACAGGACUUGGAGACGUUUCGAUGUUUUCAAGACCUGGGAAACGUGUUUAAAGGCAAACAGCAAAGCUUGACCAUGUAGAGAUAGAUGUCCUUCCUAUUUAGCAAUUCACUCAGAGAGAAGAGAACGCGUGAUUUGGGGGCAGAAGAGAAAGAAACUGAGUUGAGAAACAGAAAAUUCAGAUUUUCUAAAAGCGUCCAGAAGUGAACAGUGAGUAAAAACGCCCCACGUGACACUGAGAAAUGUCCCCAGAGCCGCGCAGUCCCAAGGCCGCCAUUGAAAAGUCUCCACGCUGGAACUGCUAUUUCCAGCACUUACUGUCAGGGACUGAGUUUGAGUUUGCGUUUUGCAAACCAUCUCCUCCAUCGUUUUGGUUUUCCACAGUGACGCAAAGAGUUGCCCUCCCUCUCUGGUUUCUUAUGGCGGCUGGUUUCCUUCCAUCUUUUUCAAAUAACGCAUUUCCACUUAGCUGGUGCCGUCUUCUGGGAUUAAUUAGUGACUGCGCAAGGUACACGGGGUUUCCGCGGCCGGCACCUCUUGACAGACGGCAGUUGGAAAGAAAUGGGAAAUGAUUGCAGAGAUGGAAGAAAAAAAAAGACCUAAAUUAUAGGAACCAACAGUCCCUGUUGCUGGAAAAUGCUGGGGAUCUGGAGUGAAUAAAUAUUCCUGAGAUGAGACGACCGUGACCUUGUGUGGGGAGCUUGACCUUUCUGUGUUGGUUCCUUCACGACAGCAUUGAAAUCCACUCAAGUCCACUCACAUUUAGAAAAUUCUACUUUGACUCAUCUUUCUCCAGCUGCCGCCCUCCAUCUGGCCUUGACGUCACAGCUGUGGUGUUUCUGUUCUCCCAUCUUCGCCCACAUCCAUUAAACUUGGCGCCUGGCCCCAUCCCUCCACUGAAACCCUCUGGCAAGGGGCCCACGUGGCGUCCUGACUGUUGAACGGGCCAUUCGCAGUCCUCCUCUUAUUGAUGCCUCAGCCUUUGUCCCUCUGAGAGGGGGGAUAGCAUAGUGGUUAGGAGACUGGGGUCACAACCUCUCUGUGCCUCAGUUUUUCAUCUGUAAAAGGAGAUAAUUAUACCGCGCAUGAAAGUGCUUAGAAUACUGUCUGGCCUCUUGUAAGCGCUCAGUUAGUGCUCUUUAUUAUCAUUACUGACCACUCCUGCCUGAACUGCAUACUUGGGCGUUGUCGACUGGGCAUAUCUGGAUUCUGAUCUUAACCCUCCAACGCUGAGUUCAUCCUCCUCCCCCUGUGCCUCCUGCUCCAGCGUUCUCUCACUUCGUGAAUGGAUCCAUUGGACGCAAGGCUGCCAAGGCCAGAAGCCUGGGUCUGCCUCUUGACUCUGCCUUCUCCAUUAGCACCCAGAGCUGAUCAGUGACAAACCCCCUUCUAGAAUUUUCUUAAUAUUUGUCAGCUCUGUCUCCUCUUCUUCAUCCUCACCGCCAGUUCCUGAGAGCACAUGGCCACUGCAUCCUGCCUGCCUCUUGAUUUCAAAUCCGUCUUCCGGAGCGGCCUUGCUGGAAACAGAUGCGUGCGAGUGUCAGUGCCCCGUAAGGCUCUCAGUGGCACUGGCUCUGGAGGCCGAGCAGGCUCGCCUGACCUGCCCUCCCUGCUCCCCGCUCCUCCAGCUGCAGGCCUCUGUCCCUCUGAGCCGUGUGUCCCUCACGCCUGCUCUGGGCAUAGCCACACCUAACUAUUUGCAGUCACUUGAAACGUGACGGAAACAUGACUCAGACCCGGGGUGAAAAUACGGCAGACUGGGCUGAAAACCAUCCAAAGGGAGUGGAAUGAGAGGCGGCCCGGGCACCGGCUCCCUCCUAAGGAGGCUGCCUGGAUUCCCCCGUGCCAGCUCCACACACCCGUGGAGCCCCCGGAA